RNAcentral lists this ribosomal RNA (254 nucleotides) under uncultured bacterium. RNAcentral's name for it is "partial 16S ribosomal RNA". It matches the Rfam family "Bacterial small subunit ribosomal RNA", at positions 524 to 776 of the family's 1533-position model. The record is from RNAcentral.
UACGAAGGGGGCUAGCGUUGUUCGGAAUUACUGGGCGUAAAGCGCACGUAGGCGGAUACUUAAGUCAGGGGUGAAAUCCCGGGGCUCAACCCCGGAACUGCCUUUGAUACUGGGUAUCUCGAGUCCGGAAGAGGUGAGUGGAAUUCCGAGUGUAGAGGUGAAAUUCGUAGAUAUUCGGAGGAACACCAGUGGCGAAGGCGGCUUUCUGGUCUGUAACUGACGCUGAGGCGCGAAAGCGUGGGGGAGCAAACAGG